UGACGGUACCUGACUAAGAAGCUCCGGCUAAAUACGUGCCAGCAGCCGCGGUAAUACGUAUGGAGCAAGCGUUAUCCGGAUUUACUGGGUGUAAAGGGAGCGUAGACGGAACAGCAAGUCUGAUGUGAAAGGCAGGGGCUCAACUCCUGGACUGCAUUGGAAACUGUUGAUCUUGAGUGCCGGAGAGGUAAGCGGAAUUCCUAGUGUAGCGGUGAAAUGCGUAGAUAUUAGGAGGAACACCAGUGGCGAAGGCGGCUUACUGGACGGUAACUGACGUUGAGGCUCGAAAGCGUGGGGAGCAAACAGGAUUAGAUACCCUG
This 320-nucleotide ribosomal RNA is filed under the name uncultured bacterium. RNAcentral's name for it is "bacterial SSU rRNA". It matches the Rfam family "Bacterial small subunit ribosomal RNA", at positions 470 to 789 of the family's 1533-position model. The record is from RNAcentral.